This 242-nucleotide unclassified non-coding RNA is filed under the name fungal sp. Its description in RNAcentral is "partial internal transcribed spacer region". The stretch from base 1 to 46 matches the Rfam family "Eukaryotic small subunit ribosomal RNA", at positions 1786 to 1831 of the family's 1831-position model. Lineage: Eukaryota; Fungi. The record is from RNAcentral.
AAGUCGUAACAAGGUCUCCGUAGGUGAACCUGCGGAGGGAUCAUUAAGACUCUCUAGCCCGCCAUCAUUUGUGGAUUUCCCCAAAUUGUUGUGUGGGUUGGUUAAAUCAUUGUGUUUAGGGGGGUAAUCAUCUCCCUAAUAUUUCAUACUUCACAAAGCCCUAAUACGCUUUGGCCAAUCAACAACAAACUUACAACAGAGGAACAUAAACAACACACCCCAUUGGAUACCUUGGUUCCCAC